CGGCGAGUGAAGCGGCAAAAGCUCAAAUUUGAAAUCUGGCUCUUUCAGAGUCUGAGUUGUAAUUUGUAGAGGAUGUUUCGGGCAAGGCUUCGGUUUAAAUUCCUUGGAACAGGAUGUCAGAGAGGGUGAGAGCCCCGUCUUGAACCAACUGCCGCGUCCAUGUGAAACUCCUUCGACGAGUCGAGUUGUUUGGGAAUGCAGCUCAAAAUGGGAGGUAAAUUUCUUCUAAAGCUAAAUAUUGGCCAGAGACCGAUAGCGCACAAGUAGAGUGAUCGAAAGAUGAAAAGCACUUUGAAAAGAGAGUUAAACAGUAUGUGAAAUUGUUGAAAGGGAAGCGCUUGCAACCAGACUUGUUCUUAACGGUUCCACCAUGAUUUUUCAUGGCUUAUUCCGUUCUGACAGGCCAGCAUCAGUUUGGGUGGUUAGUUAAAGGCUUCGGGAAUGUAUCAUCGUCUUCGGAUGUUGACUUAUAGCCCGAGGUGUAAUGUGACCUACCCAGACUGAGGUAUGCUCACGGAUGCUGGCAUAAUGGUUGUAAACGACCCGUCUUGAAACACGGACCAAGGAGUCUAACAUCUAUGCGAGUGUUAGGGUGUCAAACCCUUACGCGUAAUGAAAGUGAACGGAGGUAGGAACCCGUAUGGGUGCACUAUCGACCGAUCCUGAUGUCUUCGGAUGGAUUUGAGUAAGAGCAUAGCUGUUGGGACCCGAAAGAUGGUGAACUAUGCCUAAAUAGGGUGAAGCCAGAGGAAACUCUGGUGGAGGCUCGCAGCGGUUCUGACGUGCAAAUCGAUCGUCAAAUUUGGGUAUAGGGGCGAAAG
This 821-nucleotide ribosomal RNA is filed under the name fungal sp. BG79. RNAcentral describes it as "eukaryotic LSU rRNA". It matches the Rfam family "Eukaryotic large subunit ribosomal RNA", at positions 87 to 929 of the family's 3401-position model. The record is from RNAcentral. Lineage: Eukaryota; Fungi.